CUACUUAGAUUAGAUUCAGUGUUUAUGCGCAUGCGCUUUUGCAUCUAUAAUUUCCUCUUCCCUGGAACGGAUUGUAACGUUACUGGAGUACAGUGAUAUUAGUUUUUAUUUCACGGUCUGUUGUUGCUCAUAAAGAGGAUUUCGAGUGUCUUUUAUGAGUAAUCAAAGGCAGCAGAAGCCUACGCUAACAGGCCAGCGUUUCAAAACCCGAAAAAGAGGUGA
Molecule: long non-coding RNA, 222 nt
Organism: Perca fluviatilis (European perch)
Lineage: Eukaryota; Metazoa; Chordata; Actinopteri; Perciformes; Percidae
Exons: 2
Source: RefSeq, a predicted model, not a curated record